Molecule: ribosomal RNA, 482 nt
Filed under: uncultured bacterium
Lineage: Bacteria
Description: partial 16S ribosomal RNA
Rfam family: Bacterial small subunit ribosomal RNA
Source: RNAcentral
AUUGAACGCUGGCGGCAUGCUUUACACAUGCAAGUCGAACGGUAACAGGUCUUCGGCUGCUGACGAGUGGCGAACGGGUGAGUAAUACAUCGGAACGUGCCUAGUAGUGGGGGAUAACUACUCGAAAGAGUAGCUAAUACCGCAUGAGAUCUACGGAUGAAAGCAGGGGACCUUCGGGCCUUGUGCUACUAGAGCGGCUGAUGGCAGAUUAGGUAGUUGGUGGGGUAAAGGCUUACCAAGCCUGCGAUCUGUAGCUGGUCUGAGAGGACGACCAGCCACACUGGGACUGAGACACGGCCCAGACUCCUACGGGAGGCAGCAGUGGGGAAUUUUGGACAAUGGGCGAAAGCCUGAUCCAGCAAUGCCGCGUGCAGGAUGAAGGCCCUCGGGUUGUAAACUGCUUUUGUACGGAACGAAAAGCCUGGGGCUAAUAUCCCCGGGUCAUGACGGUACUGUAAGAAUAAGCACCGGCUAACUACGUG